This is a non-coding RNA of Hirundo rustica (Barn swallow), 540 nucleotides long. The record is from the annotation of a RefSeq genome assembly. NCBI's taxonomy places the organism in Eukaryota, Metazoa, Chordata, Aves, Passeriformes, Hirundinidae.
AUGGUUCCCUGCUGUUUCCUUGUGGCCGUGCUGGCCCCUCUGGUGGUAGCCCUGGAACAGUCUCCAGACAUGGUGAUAAAGGAAGGCCAGUCCGUGAAUCUGGAAUGUUCCCAGAAGAAAUCCUCCAACACAGCUAUGUACUGGUUCAUGCGGCCUUCAGAGAAGAAUUCCAGUCUGACCCAGUUGGUUUAUGCCUAUGAAGGUGCUAACGCAGCAGUGGAGAAGGGAUUUGAGAGCCAUUUCAAGAGCAGCGACAUCAAAGGAGACAGUAUCACCCUCACAAUAGAACGUGCCUUUCUCAAUGACUCUGGCACAUACUACUGUGCAGAGAGUCAACACAGUGUUAGCCCUAGUGAGGCACAUCUGGAGUGCAGUGUCCUGUUCUGGGCUCUUCAGUACAAGACAGACAUGGAGCUCCUGGAGAAUGUCCAGGAGAGCAGAAGAAAGGUGAUGAAGAGAGUGGAGCACCUCUUUGGUGAACAAAGGCUGAGGGGUCUUGGCCUGUUCAGCCUUGAGAAGAAACAACUAAGUGGCCACUGA